RNAcentral lists this ribosomal RNA (300 nucleotides) under uncultured Bacillus sp. RNAcentral's name for it is "bacterial SSU rRNA". It matches the Rfam family "Bacterial small subunit ribosomal RNA", at positions 496 to 795 of the family's 1533-position model. The record is from RNAcentral. Lineage: Bacteria; Bacillati; Bacillota; Bacilli; Caryophanales; Bacillaceae.
GCUAACGCCGUGCGAGCGUCGGGGGGUAUACGUGGGUGGCUGGCUUGUGUCGGAAGUACUGGGCGCAAAGCGCGCGUAGGCGGCUUUGUAAGUUAGAGGUGAAAGCCCGGGGCUCAACCCCGGAACUGCCGUUAAAACUGCAUCGCUUGAAUCCGGGAGAGGUGAGUGGAAUUCCGAGUGUAGAGGUGAAAUUCGUAGAUAUUCGGAAGAACACCAGUGGCGAAGGCGGCUCACUGGACCGGUAUUGACGCUGAGGUGCGAAAGCGUGGGGAGCAAACAGGAUUAGAUACCCGUGUAGUC